GAAGAAGACAAAGAAUGACUAGAUAAAAGCUUCUCUAUAAUUAUUUACAUUUCGUUUCUCUACAUUUCUUUUUGUGUACUUGCAUCGCAGUGUCGCUUUAGGAAUACAGCAAUAAAGCAGUGUCUCAGUUCGAAAUUAUGAAAUUAAUCAGAAGCAAAAUAAAUAUAAUUUGAGAAUACCAUUAGGGGACUCACCUCGAUAGCCACGAACUCACUGGAUCGGACUUCCGAAGAGAAAGGACACUAAUGUAGACCAAUUUUCUAAACAACGGGAUCAAAUUCGAAUAAAAAGACAAGAAAAGAAGAGCACGGAACGACGUCCGUGCUUCGACUGAGGCACGCGCUCUAGCACGGUCGCAACGAUCUAUCGCUGCGUUGCCGAUACUCCUUACGAACGAGGAGGAAAAUCGUCGAGUAAACGCGGCCUUGGUGCGUCUAAUCGCCGCGAUCUCUUCGUAUGCAUGAAACGGGCACUGCGCUCGCAGCUCGCAGAGGCAGACCCAUUGUUCUCAUCGUCAUGGUCCAAUAUUGCGUGCCAUCGUGCAAGUGGCUGUCUGUUACAUGACCACGUGGUCGCCCGUAUACGUUGGGGCAGGAGUUUGUGUUUUUUCUUCUUUCCGACCACGUAACGAAGGUCCUUUUUUGGUGGUCUGGUAAAUUCAGCUGAGAACGGACGAGAUAAAAGGAUGGUCUCCCGACAUUCAACGGCUAUAUACGGAAGUACAACUUCCUCGUGCAACGACAACUGAUUUCCCAUCGGAUGAGACUUCUUUUUGGGCGCUUUGUGUACGUUCAGUUUUAGGUCGUCGCGGAAGAAAUUGCUGCGCCAGCUGGA
Molecule: long non-coding RNA, 834 nt
Organism: Eufriesea mexicana
Lineage: Eukaryota; Metazoa; Arthropoda; Insecta; Hymenoptera; Apidae
Exons: 3
Source: RefSeq, a predicted model, not a curated record